CACCCGCCGCGGUAAUACGUAGGGGGCGAGCUUUGUCCGGAAUUAUUGGGCGUAAAGCGCGCGCAGGCGGUCCCUUAAGUCUGAUGUGAAAGCCCACGGCUCAACCGUGGAGGGUCAUUGGAAACUGGGGGACUUGAGUGCAGAAGAGGAGAGCGGAAUUCCACGUGUAGCGGUGAAAUGCGUAGAGAUGUGGAGGAACACCAGUGGCGAAGGCGGCUCUCUGGUCUGUAACUGACGCUGAGGCGCGAAAGCGUGGGGAACAAACAGGAUUAGAUACCCUGGUAGUCCACGCCGUAAACGAUGAGUGCUAAGUGUUAGAGGGGUUAAACCCUUUAGUGCUGUAGCUAACGCGUUAAGCACUCCGCCUGGGGAGUACGGCCGCAAGGCUGAAACUUAAAGGAAUUGGCGGG
Molecule: ribosomal RNA, 410 nt
Filed under: uncultured microorganism
Description: bacterial SSU rRNA
Rfam family: Bacterial small subunit ribosomal RNA
Source: RNAcentral